RNAcentral lists this ribosomal RNA (253 nucleotides) under uncultured bacterium. RNAcentral's name for it is "partial 16S ribosomal RNA". It matches the Rfam family "Bacterial small subunit ribosomal RNA", at positions 524 to 776 of the family's 1533-position model. The record is from RNAcentral.
UACGAAGGGGGCUAGCGUUGUUCGGAAUUACUGGGCGUAAAGCGCUCGUAGGCGGAUCUGUAAGUCAGGGGUGAAAUCCCGGAGCUCAACCUCGGAAGUGCCUUUGAUACUGCGGGUCUCGAGUCCGGAAGAGGGGGGUGGAAUUCCUGGUGUAGGGGUGAAAUUCGUAGAUAUUAGGAGGAACACCAGUGGCGAAGGCGGCUCACUGGGCCGGUACUGACGCUGAGGUGCGAAAGCGUGGGGAGCAAACAGG